This 414-nucleotide ribosomal RNA is filed under the name uncultured bacterium. RNAcentral's name for it is "bacterial SSU rRNA". It matches the Rfam family "Bacterial small subunit ribosomal RNA", at positions 108 to 518 of the family's 1533-position model. The record is from RNAcentral.
GAGUAACGACGUAUGCAACCUACCUAUCAGAGGGGGAACUAACCCGGCGAAAGUCGGACUAAUACCGCAUAAAACAGGGGCACCGCAUGGUGAUAUUUGUUAAAGAAAUUCGCUGAUAGAUGGGCAUGCGUUCCAUUAGGUAGUUGGUGAGGUAACGGCUCACCAAGCCGACGAUGGAUAGGGAACUGAGAGGUUGGUCCCCCACACUGGUACUGAGACACGGACCAGACUCCUACGGGAGGCAGCAGUGAGGAAUAUUGGUCAAUGGGCGGGAGCCUGAACCAGCCAAGUCGCGUGAAGGAAGAAGGAUCUAUGGUUCGUAAACUUCUUUUGCAGGGGAAUAAAGUGCAGGACGUGUCCUGUUUUGUAUGUACCCUGAGAAUAAGGAUCGGCUAACUCCGUGCCAGCCGCGGC